This 406-nucleotide ribosomal RNA is filed under the name uncultured bacterium. Its description in RNAcentral is "partial 16S ribosomal RNA". It matches the Rfam family "Bacterial small subunit ribosomal RNA", at positions 30 to 526 of the family's 1533-position model. The record is from RNAcentral.
AUUGAACGCUGGCGGCAGGCCUAACACAUGCAAGUCGAACGAGUGGCGGACGGGUGAGUAAUGUCUGGGAAACUGCCCGAUGGAGGGGGAUAACUACUGGAAACGGUAGCUAAUACCGCAUACCAUCGGAUGUGCCCAGAUGGGAUUAGCUGGUAGGGGAGGUAACGGCUCACCUAGGCGACGAUCCCGAUCUGGUCUGUGAGGAUGACCAUCCACACUGGAACUGAGAGACGGUCCAGACUCCUACGGGAGGCAGCAGUGGGAAAUAUUGCACAAUGGGCGCAAGCCUGAUGCAGCCAUGCAGAGUGUAUGAAGAAGGCCUUAGGGUUGUAAAGUACUUUCAGCGGGGAGGCGUUACCCUCAGAAGAAGCACCGGCUAACUCCGUGCCAGCAGCCGCGGUAAUAC